GUCCCUAUCGUCUAGAGGCCUAGGACAUCGCCCUUUCACGGCGGUAACCGGGGAUCGAAUCCCCGUAGGGACGCCA
This 76-nucleotide transfer RNA is filed under the name Acinetobacter baumannii 24812_6. RNAcentral describes it as "tRNA-Glu". It matches the Rfam family "tRNA". Rfam says of the family: Transfer RNA (tRNA) molecules are approximately 80 nucleotides in length. Lineage: Bacteria; Pseudomonadati; Pseudomonadota; Gammaproteobacteria; Moraxellales; Moraxellaceae. The record is from RNAcentral.